This 377-nucleotide ribosomal RNA is filed under the name uncultured bacterium. Its description in RNAcentral is "bacterial SSU rRNA". It matches the Rfam family "Bacterial small subunit ribosomal RNA", at positions 523 to 898 of the family's 1533-position model. The record is from RNAcentral.
AUACGUAGGGCGCGAGCGUUGUCCGGAAUUAUUGGGCGUAAAGAGCUCGUAGGCGGUCUGUCGCGUCUGUCGUGAAAGCCCACGGCUUAACUGUGGGUCUGCGGUGGAUACGGGCAGGCUAGAGGCAGGUAGGGGAGCAUGGAAUUCCCGGUGUAGCGGUGAAAUGCGCAGAUAUCGGGAGGAACACCGGUGGCGAAGGCGGUGCUCUGGGCCUGUUCUGACGCUGAGGAGCGAAAGCGUGGGGAGCGAACAGGAUUAGAUACCCUGGUAGUCCACGCCGUAAACGUUGGGCGCUAGGUGUGGGGUUCUUCCACGGAUUCCGCGCCGUAGCUAACGCAUUAAGCGCCCCGCCUGGGGAGUACGGCCGCAAGGCUAAA